GUGUCAGCAGCCGCGGUAAGACGAACCACCCAAACGUUAUUCGGAAUCACUGGGCUUAAAGGGUGCGUAGGCGGCGUCGUAAGUCGGGUGUGAAAUCCCUCAGCUCAACUGAGGAAUUGCGCCCGAUACUGCGGCGCUUGAGGGAGACAGAGGUAAGCGGAACUGAUGGUGGAGCGGUGAAAUGCAUUGAUAUCAUCAGGAACACCGGUGGCGAAAGCGGCUUACUGGGUCUCUUCUGACGCUCAGGCACGAAAGCUAGGGGAGCGAACGGGAUUAGAAACCCUCGUAGUCC
Molecule: ribosomal RNA, 292 nt
Filed under: uncultured bacterium
Lineage: Bacteria
Description: partial 16S ribosomal RNA
Rfam family: Bacterial small subunit ribosomal RNA
Source: RNAcentral